GUUCACUUGCGUGACGAUAAAUGAGUUUUGAUAGAGAUAUCUGAGAAUUUCUGAUGAGUACAAACAUCUCUGAUGUGCAC
Molecule: small nucleolar RNA, 80 nt
Organism: Labeo rohita (rohu)
Lineage: Eukaryota; Metazoa; Chordata; Actinopteri; Cypriniformes; Cyprinidae
Product: small nucleolar RNA SNORD74
Exons: 1
Source: RefSeq, a predicted model, not a curated record